GAGUCUGAGCUACUGGAGCCUUCCCCUUGGUGAACCCUGAACGGGUGGUGCUGCAUGAAUUUGUCUUGGAAUGGGACUCUGAGUCAGGUCCGGGGGAGGAAACAUUUCACUGAUGGGACAACAUGUUGGAGCAUCUUCUGAGAGUCAAAAUCCCCGGCCUGCAAAGCCCUGGUGCCAGGGUAGUGUGA
Long non-coding RNA from Chiroxiphia lanceolata (lance-tailed manakin), 188 nucleotides. RefSeq lists it as uncharacterized. The record is from RefSeq and is a predicted model, not a curated record. The transcript has 3 exons. Lineage: Eukaryota; Metazoa; Chordata; Aves; Passeriformes; Pipridae.